UGCCAGCCGCCGCGGUAAGACAGAGGGUGCAAACGUUGCUCGGAAUUACUGGGCGUAAAGCGCGUGUAGGCGGAUCGGUAAGUCAGAUGUGAAAGCCCUGGGCUCAACCUAGGAACUGCAUUUGAAACUGCCGGUCUAGAGUGGUGGAGAGGGAAGUGGAAUUCCUGGUGUAGAGGUGAAAUUCGUAGAUAUCAGGAGGAACACCAGUGGCGAAGGCGGCUUCCUGGACACCAACUGACGCUGAGACGCGAAAGCGUGGGGAGCAAACAGGAUUAGAUA
Molecule: ribosomal RNA, 279 nt
Filed under: uncultured bacterium
Lineage: Bacteria
Description: partial 16S ribosomal RNA
Rfam family: Bacterial small subunit ribosomal RNA
Source: RNAcentral